AUGUGCACCAGGGGCAGAGCCCUGGAAUUUAUAGACUCACCGAGGCUUGAAGGACCUUUCCCCUCCUUGUCUUACAGAUCCUGUGUGCAGUGCAGCCAACAUGGCCGGCCGCCACCCAUUGUCUUCCGAAGGGUAGAGAUGUUCCUGGGAAGGAGCUACCUGGCCAGAGACUACAAUUCCCAGCCCCCCUUGCAGCAAGUUGAAGCCAAGUGGCUGAGUUCUUCCCAAUGGGCCAUGAGAAGAGGGAUGCACUCUACUUCCGGAUGUGGUGCAUUACAGCUUCUGCACUCUCAUCUUCCGCCUCAGUUGGCUGGGUGUUGAUGCCCUGGGCCCCUCAAUGACUCCUGCCUUUAUCCUCCUUUCUCCCACCAUUGGCCUCUCUGUAAGCAAGAAAUAAAAGUAUUUUGUGUGGUGCCA
RNAcentral lists this long non-coding RNA (417 nucleotides) under Felis catus (domestic cat). Its description in RNAcentral is "lncRNA (ENSFCAG00000050093.1)". The record is from RNAcentral. Lineage: Eukaryota; Metazoa; Chordata; Mammalia; Carnivora; Felidae.